This 442-nucleotide ribosomal RNA is filed under the name uncultured bacterium. RNAcentral's name for it is "partial 16S ribosomal RNA". It matches the Rfam family "Bacterial small subunit ribosomal RNA", at positions 338 to 795 of the family's 1533-position model. The record is from RNAcentral.
CCUACGGGAGGCUGCAGUAGGGAAUCUUUCACAAUGGGCGAAAGCCUGAUGGAGCAACGCCGCGUGCACGAUGAAGGCCUUCGGGUUGUAAACUGCUUUUAUAAGCGAGAAAUAUGAUGGUAACUUAUGAAUAAGGAUCGGCUAACUACGUGCCAGCAGCCGCGGUCAUACGUAGGAUCCGAGCAUUAUCCGGAGUGACUUGGUGUAAAGAGUUGCGUAGGUGGCAUAAUAAGUAGCUAGUGAAAUCUGGUGGCUCAACCAUUCAGACUAUUAGCUAAACUGUUAAGCUCGAGACCGGUAGGGGUAACUGGAAUUUCUAGUGUAGGAGUGAAAUGCGUAGAUAUUAGAAGGAACACCAAUAGCGUAGGCAGGUUACUGGAACGGUUCUGACGCUGAGGCACGAAAGCGUAGGGAGCAAACGGGAUUAGAUACCCUAGUAGUC